Molecule: long non-coding RNA, 1273 nt
Filed under: Homo sapiens (human)
Lineage: Eukaryota; Metazoa; Chordata; Mammalia; Primates; Hominidae
Description: HSALNT0251098
Source: RNAcentral
UCCUGGCUCCAGGGCUCAGCCCUGCCCACUUCUGGAGAAUUCCAUGACUCAGGUAACAGAGGAGGGGCCUAGCCAGUCUCAGAGCCAAGGUCACACCGCCCUACACCUUGCUGUCCCCACAGCAUCUGCAGGAGGAGCAUGCCAGGACCAGAGACCCAGGGAGCAGCCUCACCAGAGGGAAAAGAGCCUGUAGAGUGGUGAGCUCAGGGCCUCACUCUGUCCCCCAGGCCGGAGUGCAGUGACAUGAUACGGCCCUCCCCAGCCUCUACCUCCUGGGCUCAAGAGAUCCUCCUGCCGCGGACUUCCUGGUAGCUGGGAUGAGGGGUAACGGGAAUGGCAGGACUGUGGUUGAGCUUUGGGAGCCCGGGAAGGAAGGAUACUGGAGCUGGGCUGAUCCAGGACAGCUUCCUGGAGGAGGCGGGAUUUAAACUGGUCAAUGAGGCUCCACGAAACCCUUCUGGGUGUGAGGUACAGAGCUCAGCACGCUGCUGGUCCUUAAAAAAAGAACCACAUGAGGGCAAUAAUCACGAGAGGACUGUGGUGCUAUGUGAAGAAGAAAUGAAACUCAUCCAUGAUAAUGGAGAUGAAAAUCCUAGUUCUUAGGACGGCCUCAAACUUUAGAAAACCUCACACGGACUCAGGGAGAAGAGAGGGGCUAGGUGGGUGUGCAGAGUCCCCCAGUGGCUUGUUUUCAUUGGAAUAAUAACAUCUUACAUUUCGAUGUGGUAAUGUCGCUGUUAAAACGCACUUCUCAUUGUUAGAAAUAAAAAUGACUCAAAGAUGUGAAAGCUUUUCUCCAUUCAGUGACUUACAUGGGGGUUUUCCCAUGAAGGCCUUAGGAGAGGCUGUGAGGCAGCUUAUGCAAGGCUGCUUUCCGCAUCUCUAAGGAGGGUGGAAUGGGAAAUAAAACCAAUAAACUGUAAACUGCUCUCAGAAGAAUUCCUUCCAGCUGAAUUACAGAAACUUAGGCAAGGCUGCUACUAAGUUUAUGGGCUAGCAGUAAGUUUUCCUGCCCUCAUGGCUUUGGGGAAACUCUGAUGACUAUUCCGCUAGAAGGAGUAAUGAGUCAAAGACUGCCCUUAAAUCCUGCAAAAGAGGAUCUGGAAAAAAUACCUGGCACCCCCAUGACUAUCCUUCCCACCACCUGGUACAACCAGAAGUGAAAAUGCCUCAAGUUGAUGUUGAAACAAUAACUCAUCUCACCCUCCACAAAGGCACAGGACAUCUCUCAGCAACAGAGAUCUUUCCUCUAAUCGGAAAGUACACUCUUUGG